Molecule: ribosomal RNA, 206 nt
Filed under: uncultured bacterium
Lineage: Bacteria
Description: partial 16S ribosomal RNA
Rfam family: Bacterial small subunit ribosomal RNA
Source: RNAcentral
GAUUGUAGUCUGCAACUCGACUACAUGAAGCUGGAAUCGCUAGUAAUCGCGGAUCAGAAUGCCGCGGUGAAUACGUUCCCGGGUCUUGUACACACCGCCCGUCACACCAUGGGAGUCGAUAACGCCCGAAGUCAGUGACCCAACCUGUAAGGAGGGAGCUGCCGAAGGCGGGAUUGAUAACUGGGGUGAAGUCGUAACAAGGUAAC